UUAUAAUCUAUGAAAUGUGAUUGCGUUAGGGAUAGCAGCAGAAAGCCCACAGCCGGACGAAGGGAGGCGAGGACUUGGAGCGAAUAGCCCGACCCGCA
This 98-nucleotide unclassified non-coding RNA is filed under the name Flavobacterium hercynium. Its description in RNAcentral is "Flavo-1 RNA". Lineage: Bacteria; Pseudomonadati; Bacteroidota; Flavobacteriia; Flavobacteriales; Flavobacteriaceae. The record is from RNAcentral.